This 554-nucleotide ribosomal RNA is filed under the name uncultured bacterium. Its description in RNAcentral is "partial 16S ribosomal RNA". It matches the Rfam family "Bacterial small subunit ribosomal RNA", at positions 355 to 900 of the family's 1533-position model. The record is from RNAcentral.
UGGGGAAUAUUGCACAAUGGGCGCAAGCCUGAUGCAGCCAUGCCGCGUGUGUGAAGAAGGCCUUCGGGUUGUAAAGCACUUUCAGCGAGGAGGAAGGUGGUGAACUUAAUACGUUCAUCAAUUGACAUUACUCGCAGAAGAAGCACCGGCUAACCCCGUGCCAGCAGCCGCGGUAAUACGGAGGGUGCAAGCGUUAAUCGGAAUUACUGGGCGUAAAGCGCACGCAGGCGGUUUGUUAAGUCAGAUGUGAAAUCCCCGGGCUCAACCUGGGAACUGCAUUUGAAACUGGCAAGCUAGAGUCUCGUAGAGGGGGGUAGAAUUCCAGGUGUAGCGGUGAAAUGCGUAGAGAUCUGGAGGAAUACCGGUGGCGAAGGCGGCCCCCUGGACGAAGACUGACGCUCAGGUGCGAAAGCGUGGGGCAGCAAACAGGAUUAGAUACCCUGGUAGUCCACGCUGUAAACGAUGUCGAUUUGGAGGUUGUGCCCUUGAGGCGUGGCUUCCGGAGCUAACGCGUUAAAUCGACCGCCUGGGGAGUACGGCCGCAAGGUUAAAAC